Conger conger (European conger) is the source of this 350-nucleotide long non-coding RNA. RefSeq lists it as uncharacterized. NCBI's taxonomy places the organism in Eukaryota, Metazoa, Chordata, Actinopteri, Anguilliformes, Congridae. The record is from RefSeq and is a predicted model, not a curated record. The transcript has 4 exons.
GGAGUUUACUCCGCAGCGGUGUUAUUCUGUAGCCUGUAGAAGAGAUUUAAUUUCCAAAGUGAUCGCUUUUUGGACCAUUCUCAAAUAUGUCAUUUGAUAAGGAGAUGGGAUGGUUUCUCUCUAUACAUCAUGGUAUAAAAACCAGGAGAAAAAUAAAGGUCUUUGUGACCAUGGUUUAUAUCUGCUGGACAGUAAAUGGAGGUGCAGGACUAUUAACAACUGUAGCUCCAAAUACUGAAAGUCACGCCACAACAUUUGGUGAAACAACAACGAUGGCACCAUUUACAACUGUAGGUCGUACAACAGCACGUAGUCAAACCACAACUGGAAAUCCAACCACGGCAAAUCUU